AAAAAGAUAAGCUAAAUAAGCUAACGGGUUCAUACCCCGUACAUAAAGGUCCGACCCCUUUUCUUUUUA
RNAcentral lists this transfer RNA (69 nucleotides) under Psylliodes cupreus. RNAcentral describes it as "tRNA-Met". It matches the Rfam family "tRNA". From Rfam's summary of the family: Transfer RNA (tRNA) molecules are approximately 80 nucleotides in length. Their secondary structure includes four short double-helical elements and three loops (D, anti-codon, and T loops). Further hydrogen bonds mediate the characteristic L-shaped molecular structure. tRNAs have two regions of fundamental functional importance: the anti-codon, which is responsible for specific mRNA codon recognition, and the 3' end, to which the tRNAs corresponding amino acid is attached (by aminoacyl-tRNA synthetases). tRNAs cope with the degeneracy of the genetic code in two manners: having more than one tRNA (with a specific anti-codon) for a particular amino acid; and 'wobble' base-pairing, i.e. permitting non-standard base-pairing at the 3rd anti-codon position. The record is from RNAcentral. Lineage: Eukaryota; Metazoa; Arthropoda; Insecta; Coleoptera; Chrysomelidae. RNAcentral also lists the same sequence under 2 other names.